This is a non-coding RNA of Stygiomarasmius scandens, 88 nucleotides long. The record is from the annotation of a GenBank genome assembly. Lineage: Eukaryota; Fungi; Basidiomycota; Agaricomycetes; Agaricales; Campanellaceae.
GGCGAGAUGGCCGAGCGGUCUAAGGCGCCAGAAUCAGGAAGAGUCCAUCUGGUCCGAAAGGGCGUGGGUUCGAAUCCCACUCUCGUCA